RNAcentral lists this ribosomal RNA (254 nucleotides) under uncultured bacterium. Its description in RNAcentral is "partial 16S ribosomal RNA". It matches the Rfam family "Bacterial small subunit ribosomal RNA", at positions 524 to 776 of the family's 1533-position model. The record is from RNAcentral.
UACGUAGGGGGCAAGCGUUGUCCGGAUUUAUUGGGCGUAAAGAGCUCGUAGGCGGCUCGGUAAGUCGGAUGUGAAACCUCCAGGCUCAACCUGGAGACGCCAUCUGAUACUGCCGUGGCUUGAGUCCGGUAGAGGAGCAGGGAAUUCCUGGUGUAGCGGUGAAAUGCGCAGAUAUCAGGAGGAACACCAGCGGCGAAGGCGCUGCUCUGGGCCGGUACUGACGCUGAGGAGCGAAAGCGUGGGGAGCAAACGGG